RNAcentral lists this ribosomal RNA (484 nucleotides) under uncultured bacterium. RNAcentral's name for it is "partial 16S ribosomal RNA". It matches the Rfam family "Bacterial small subunit ribosomal RNA", at positions 30 to 507 of the family's 1533-position model. The record is from RNAcentral.
AUUGAACGCUGGCGGCAGGCCUAACACAUGCAAGUCGAGCGGAUGAAGGGAGCUUGCUCCUGGAUUCAGCGGCGGACGGGUGAGUAAUGCCUAGGAAUCUGCCUGGUAGUGGGGGAUAACGUCCGGAAACGGGCGCUAAUACCGCAUACGUCCUGAGGGAGAAAGUGGGGGAUCUUCGGACCUCACGCUAUCAGAUGAGCCUAGGUCGGAUUAGCUAGUUGGUGGGGUAAAGGCCUACCAAGGCGACGAUCCGUAACUGGUCUGAGAGGAUGAUCAGUCACACUGGAACUGAGACACGGUCCAGACUCCUACGGGAGGCAGCAGUGGGGAAUAUUGGACAAUGGGCGAAAGCCUGAUCCAGCCAUGCCGCGUGUGUGAAGAAGGUCUUCGGAUCGUAAAGCACCUUAAGUUGGGAGGAAGGGCAGUAAGUUAAUACCUUGCUGUUUUGACGUUACCAACAGAAUAAGCACCGGCUAACUUCGUG